This 1501-nucleotide ribosomal RNA is filed under the name Musa schizocarpa. RNAcentral describes it as "SSU rRNA". The stretch from base 2 to 955 matches the Rfam family "Eukaryotic small subunit ribosomal RNA", at positions 4 to 1116 of the family's 1831-position model. The record is from RNAcentral. Lineage: Eukaryota; Viridiplantae; Streptophyta; Magnoliopsida; Zingiberales; Musaceae.
CCUGGUUGAUCCUGCCAGUAGUCAUAUGCUUGUCUCAAAGAUUAAGCCAUGCAUGUGUAAGUAUGAACUAUUUCGCAUCGUGAAACUGCGAAUGGCUCAUUAAAUCAGUUAUAGUUUGUUUGAUGGUACGUGCUACCGGAUAACCGUAGUAAUUCUAGAGCUAAUACGCGCAACAAACCCCCGACUUCCUGAAGGGAUGCAUUUAUUAGAUAAAAGGCUGACGUGGGCUUUGCCCGCUGCUCCGAUGAUUCAUGAUAACUCAACGGAUCGCACGGCCCUCGUGCGGCGACGAUCAUUCAAAUUUCUGCCCUAUCAACUUUCGAUGGUAGGAUAGGGGCCUACCAUGGUAGUGACGGGUGACGGAGCAUUAGGGUUCGAUUCCGGAGAGGAAGCCCGAGAAACGGCUACCACAUCCAAGGAAGGCAGCAGGCGCCAAAUUACCCAAUCGACACGGGGGAGGUAGUGAUAAUAAAUAACAAUACCGGGCUCUUCGAGUCUGGUAAUUGGAAUGAGUACAAUCUAAAUCCCUUAACGAGGAUCCAUUAGAGGGCAAGUCUGGUGCCAGCAGCCAUGGUAAUUCCAACUCCAAUAGCGUAUAUUUAAGUUGUUGCAGUUAAAAAGCUCGUAGUUGGACUUUGGGACGAGUCGGUCGGUCCGCCUCGCGGUGUGCACCGGUCGUCCCAUCCCUUCUGUCGGCGAUGCGUGCCUGGCCUUAACUGGCCGGGUCGUGCCUCCGGCACUGUUACUUUGAAGAAAUUAGAGUGCUCAAAGCAAGCCCACGCUCUGGAUACAUUAGCAUGGGAUUGUUGAAUCUCGGAUUUUGAUGAUAAAAUCAAUUGAUGGGUUAUUUGAUCUAAUCCAUAUUAUUGAGUUAAGUAUGCAGGAUUAACUACAAUAAACACAAAACACAAAGCAAGAAUACCAGAGUCGAGUUCGAUGAAUGUUUAAGAGUCCGAAGAAUCGUCGGAGAUGCUGCCGGAACCAACCGAGAAGAAAUCGGGAACCUGUUGGAAGUUCGCCGAAGAGAUCGUCGGAGGUUCGCAGAGAUCACCGAGAAGUCUCAGCUACUCAUUAAAGUCAUCACAAGUUCGGGAGCUUGGACCCCGUCGAAAGGAAGUUCGGCUUCCUCACGAACAAGACUUGACGUUCAUGGUUAAUAAAUUGCUUACGAUGUGUGUUUUGUUAUGUAGUUCACUUGUAAUUAGGAUUAGGAUUAAGAAGAUAAUCCUAUAUCCCAGUUAGGGGCCAACCAAAAGUCAAAGAUUUGGUUUGGGCUAAAAGAAAGCAAAACCAAGUGAACCGGAGAGCCAAGCCGGUGGCACCGCUUGGGCCGGGCGGAUGACACCUCUGGUCAGGGUGGCACCUCCCAAACCCGAAAGGCCAAGCGGUGGCACUGCUUGGUUUAUGGGUGGCACCGCCAAAGCAUCGGGAACCCAAAGAGAAUUUGAAUUUUGGAGCCCAAACUUUGGAGCCCAAAUUUGAGUCCUCUUGAGGCCUAUAA